This 429-nucleotide ribosomal RNA is filed under the name uncultured Rhodocyclaceae bacterium. RNAcentral describes it as "bacterial SSU rRNA". It matches the Rfam family "Bacterial small subunit ribosomal RNA", at positions 355 to 776 of the family's 1533-position model. Lineage: Bacteria; Pseudomonadati; Pseudomonadota; Betaproteobacteria; Rhodocyclales; Rhodocyclaceae. The record is from RNAcentral.
UGGGGAAUUUUGGACAAUGGGGGCAACCCUGAUCCAGCCAUGCCGCGUGAGUGAAGAAGGCCUUCGGGUUGUAAAGCUCUUUCGGCCGGAACGAAAUCGCAUCUCUUAAUACGGGGUGUGGAUGACGGUACCGGAAGAAGAAGCACCGGCUAACUACGUGCCAGCAGCCGCGGUAAUACGUAGGGUGCGAGCGUUAAUCGGAAUUACUGGGCGUAAAGCGUGCGCAGGCGGUUCGCUAAGACAGGUGUGAAAUCCCCGGGCUUAACCUGGGAAUGGCGCUUGUGACUGGCGGGCUGGAGUACGGCAGAGGGAGGUGGAAUUCCACGUGUAGCAGUGAAAUGCGUAGAGAUGUGGAGGAACACCGAUGGCGAAGGCAGCCUCCUGGGCCAGUACUGACGCUCAUGCACGAAAGCGUGGGGAGCAAACAGG